RNAcentral lists this ribosomal RNA (657 nucleotides) under uncultured fungus. Its description in RNAcentral is "eukaryotic LSU rRNA". It matches the Rfam family "Eukaryotic large subunit ribosomal RNA", at positions 24 to 664 of the family's 3401-position model. The record is from RNAcentral. Lineage: Eukaryota; Fungi.
CCCGCUGAACUUAAGCAUAUCAAUAAGCGGAGGAAAAGAAACCAACAGGGAUUGCCUUAGUAACGGCGAGUGAAGCGGCAAAAGCUCAGAUUUGAAAUCUGGUGCCAUAAUGGCAUCUGAGUUGUAAUCUGUAGAGGAGUAUUCGAGUGUGGCUCUGGCUUAAGUUCCUUGGAACAGGGCGUCAAAGAGGGUGAGAACCCCGUUUGCGGCCUUUGUCCUAUGCUCAUGUGAAUCUCCUUCAACGAGUCGAGUUGUUUGGGAAUGCAGCUCAAAAUGGGUGGUAAAUUCCAUCUAAAGCUAAAUAUUGGCGAGAGACCGAUAGCGAACAAGUACCGUGAGGGAAAGAUGAAAAGAACUUUGGAAAGAGAGUUAAACAGUACGUGAAAUUGCUGAAAGGGAAACGCUUGAAGUCAGUCGCGUCGUCCAGGGAUCAACCUUGCUUUUGCUUGGUGCACUUUCUGGUUCGAUGGGUCAGCAUCAAUUUUGACUGUUGGAAAAAGGUCAAGGGAAUGUGGCAUCUUUGGAUGUGUUAUAGCCCUUGGUCACAUACAAUGGUUGGGAUUGAGGAACUCAGCACGCCGCAAGGCCGGGUUUUAAACCACGUACGUGCUUAGGAUGCUGGCAAUAUGGCUUUAAUCGACCCGUCUUGAAACACGG